RNAcentral lists this ribosomal RNA (500 nucleotides) under uncultured Myrionecta. RNAcentral describes it as "bacterial SSU rRNA". It matches the Rfam family "Eukaryotic small subunit ribosomal RNA", at positions 1211 to 1795 of the family's 1831-position model. The record is from RNAcentral. Lineage: Eukaryota; Ciliophora; Litostomatea; Cyclotrichida; Mesodiniidae.
AAACUUACCAGGUCAAGACAUGGGCGUGAUUGACAGGCUAAUGACUUUUCUCGAUUCCAUGGAUGGUGGUGCAUGGUCGCACUUAGUUGGUGCAGUGAUUUGUCAGGUUUAUUCCGGUAACGAACGAGACCUCGGCCUUGUAAAUAGCUAUGCUGCUUACAGGGACAUUGGCGGCUACGCCAAGGAAGCUCGAGGCAAUUGCAGAUCUGGAAUGCCCUUAGAUGUCCUGGGUCGCACGCGUGCUACAAUGACGCCACGAACGAGCUUGCGUGAUGAAAGUUACGCAUAAUCAGCAGUCGGCGUCUUAAGGGAUAGUCUCUUGUAACUGUGGGACUCCAACUAGGAAUGUCUCGUAAGCACAAGUCAACAUCUUGUGUUGAUUACGUCCCUGCUCUUUGUACACACCGCCCGUCGCUCCUACCGAUCGAGUGUUUAGGUGAAUUUGACGGACGUAAGGAAGUCAAAUAAACCUGAGCACUAGAGAAGAGAAGUCUAGAAUC